GCUGAGGGAGGAAGAAGAGCAGAAAAGUCAGAUGCUGAAGGAGAAGAGUGAAGAGAUGAUGAGAGAGAUGAAUCCGAUUCAUAAAGGAUGAGCUCAAAGCUGGGGAUAUUUCAUUCCUAUACAGAACUUCAACUAUACAAUGGAAUGAGCCCAAUGCACACAACAAGAUCCAGAAAAUAUUCCAAGAUCUUUGCUAGAUGUGGCAAAACAUCUUGGAAAUCUUAAGUUUAGAGUAUGGGAGAAGAUGCAGCACAUUGUUCAAUACAG
Molecule: long non-coding RNA, 267 nt
Organism: Onychostoma macrolepis
Lineage: Eukaryota; Metazoa; Chordata; Actinopteri; Cypriniformes; Cyprinidae
Exons: 3
Source: RefSeq, a predicted model, not a curated record